This 303-nucleotide long non-coding RNA is filed under the name Canis lupus familiaris (dog). Its description in RNAcentral is "lncRNA (ENSCAFG00805027036.1, ENSCAFG00845021070.1)". Lineage: Eukaryota; Metazoa; Chordata; Mammalia; Carnivora; Canidae. The record is from RNAcentral.
CUGGGGAAGGACAUUUCCCAGCUCAGGGAAUUACCAGUCGAGGGUUUUAUAACCACAAUAUGGGGCCGAGUCAUUCCAGUGAGAAGUUGCUGCCACUUUACCUUUCUUCCCAAGUAGGCAAAUUUAAAUGAAAGAAUGGCUGGACUUCAUUGGAAGCAGAUCCGGAGCACGAGAGCUUUCCUUCUGUCCACCUGGGAAGGUUCUGCUCUUGCAAGGCAGCCCCUCCCUCCCGACUACCUGCAAAGCCUCCUGUGCCCACAGGCCCUGAGGCUCCCAUGCCAGCAGGGCAGAGAGGGCGACUGA